AAAUUGAAGAGUUUGAUCAUGGCUCAGAUUGAACGCUGGCGGCAGGCCUAACACAUGCAAGUCGAGCGGUAGCACAGAGAGCUUGCUCUCGGGUGACGAGCGGCGGACGGGUGAGUAAUGUCUGGGAAGCUGCCUGAUGGAGGGGGAUAACUACUGGAAACGGUAGCUAAUACCGCAUAAUGUCGCAAGACCAAAGUGGGGGACCUUCGGGCCUCAUGCCAUCAGAUGUGCCCAGAUGGGAUUAGCUAGUAGGUGGGGUAACGGCUCACCUAGGCGACGAUCCCUAGCUGGUCUGAGAGGAUGACCAGCCACACUGGAACUGAGACACGGUCCAGACUCCUACGGGAGGCAGCAGUGGGGAAUAUUGCACAAUGGGCGCAAGCCUGAUGCAGCCAUGCCGCGUGUGUGAAGAAGGCCUUCGGGUUGUAAAGCACUUUCAGCGGGGAGGAAGGCGGUGAGGUUAAUAACCUCAUCGAUUGACGUUACCCGCAGAAGAAGCACCGGCUAACUCCGUGCCAGCAGCCGCGGUAAUACGGAGGGUGCAAGCGUUAAUCGGAAUUACUGGGCGUAAAGCGCACGCAGGCGGUCUGUCAAGUCGGAUGUGAAAUCCCCGGGCUCAACCUGGGAACUGCAUUCGAAACUGGCAGGCUAGAGUCUUGUAGAGGGGGGUAGAAUUCCAGGUGUAGCGGUGAAAUGCGUAGAGAUCUGGAGGAAUACCGGUGGCGAAGGCGGCCCCCUGGACAAAGACUGACGCUCAGGUGCGAAAGCGUGGGGAGCAAACAGGAUUAGAUACCCUGGUAGUCCACGCCGUAAACGAUGUCGAUUUGGAGGUUGUGCCCUUGAGGCGUGGCUUCCGGAGCUAACGCGUUAAAUCGACCGCCUGGGGAGUACGGCCGCAAGGUUAAAACUCAAAUGAAUUGACGGGGGCCCGCACAAGCGGUGGAGCAUGUGGUUUAAUUCGAUGCAACGCGAAGAACCUUACCUGGUCUUGACAUCCACAGAACUUUCCAGAGAUGGAUUGGUGCCUUCGGGAACUGUGAGACAGGUGCUGCAUGGCUGUCGUCAGCUCGUGUUGUGAAAUGUUGGGUUAAGUCCCGCAACGAGCGCAACCCUUAUCCUUUGUUGCCAGCGGUUAGGCCGGGAACUCAAAGGAGACUGCCAGUGAUAAACUGGAGGAAGGUGGGGAUGACGUCAAGUCAUCAUGGCCCUUACGACCAGGGCUACACACGUGCUACAAUGGCAUAUACAAAGAGAAGCGACCUCGCGAGAGCAAGCGGACCUCAUAAAGUAUGUCGUAGUCCGGAUUGGAGUCUGCAACUCGACUCCAUGAAGUCGGAAUCGCUAGUAAUCGUAGAUCAGAAUGCUACGGUGAAUACGUUCCCGGGCCUUGUACACACCGCCCGUCACACCAUGGGAGUGGGUUGCAAAAGAAGUAGGUAGCUUAACCUUCGGGAGGGCGCUUACCACUUUGUGAUUCAUGACUGGGGUGAAGUCGUAACAAGGUAACCGUAGGGGAACCUGCGGUUGGAUCACCUCCUUA
RNAcentral lists this ribosomal RNA (1540 nucleotides) under Klebsiella pneumoniae. Its description in RNAcentral is "bacterial SSU rRNA". It matches the Rfam family "Bacterial small subunit ribosomal RNA". Lineage: Bacteria; Pseudomonadati; Pseudomonadota; Gammaproteobacteria; Enterobacterales; Enterobacteriaceae. The record is from RNAcentral.